AAGGAUUGUGUAAUCAGGAGCAGGAAAGGACACCCAAGACGCAGCCACGCUCCCAUCCAGUGGCUCCCGCUCAUCGCAGUGGCUGGGGAGGAACUUCUGCAGGCUCAGAGUAGCCCCUAGCACAUCUCCACAGCCCUGCAAUUCUGGUUAACCUGGUAGCUCAGGGCUUUCUUCCUUGAGCACACGGAAGGAAGUCCAGCCCUGCACAGCCCUGCAAGGACGCCUCCCCCCUUCUCCUUACUUGUAGAAGAAUGAAAGUGACCCCCCACCGUGAGGGAGCCAUUGGAGAGGGGACACUCACCCUGUUAAAGCGCUUGGCUUGGAAGAGGUGGCCGUUGGCUCGGUACAGCUUCCUCCAUCUUCUGGCUCCACGGCGGUAGAUGGACUCUAGAAAGGACGAGGGAAAGUGUGUAAGGAAGAAGCAUGGUGAUGGAGGAGCCUGGUUCCCGAACCCCAGGUACAGAUGGGGACAGGCGGUUCCUGACUAGGUGGCUGCAGUGGCUGGAGCGGUGAUUCUCAUCCUGGCUGAGGGAUGCCAGAACUAAGUUGACCAGGCUCCCUGGGUACAGGCUUCCCUUCACCUCUCCUCACAUGACUCAAAUGACCUCACAGCUGUGGCUGUUGGAGAUGGCAGCUCAGGUGGAAGAGGCCCCAGACAGUAGUGGAGAUACCCAGCAUCCCGCAGGAACAACAGGCAGGGUUCGGCAGCAGGAUAUCGGUUCCUCCGGCCUGGGCCAGUCAGCUCCCAGACUGUAUUCCCGGCUGCUUUCCUUCACUCUCUGAGUGGCUUCUGAAAGCCAGGCCCCUUUUUCCAUACAGGGACAAGGUUCAAAUGGACCAUGCUAUUUACAUAUGACCAUCCAAGGAGGGAAAGUGGAUGGCUAGGCUGGAGGCUAUCCUCAGCCAGUACACACACUAGCGUUUCAGUGACUCACCCAGGCCCAAGAUCCCCUUAGCCCAACAGACCUUGGGGCAGAGGAAGGUCCAACUCUCUUGAAUAUUUGCUCUGAGUCCACAGUUAACCCAGAGCAUCACUUUGUGACAUGCGCCAUUCACACUAGAACAGUUCUUUUUAAAAACACCACCGAAGUUCCGACCAGAACCAUUGGCCUGAUGCUUUCCGAUCCACAACACCCAAGUGCCACGAGGCCAGCAUACAGAGACAAAACCUCCAGAAACACAAGGUACAAUGGGAAGCUUUGUGCUUUUAUAAAAUCCCGUAGCAAGAGCGACUUUCAGGAGCUUGGUGAAAGUGCAGAGAAUAUUCCUCAGUGGAAAGUGUAACAGAAUGUUUUUAAAACAAGCAAAUGGCCAGCUCUGGCUGGAAACUGCUGAAAUCAGGUCACAGCAACUGCAAACAUGCUUCUCUCCCUUUAAAGGGGAGAUUCAGUGAGGAGCCGGGAGCUGCGGUUCCUCUGGGAGCUCAGGAAGAACGAAGGCCCCACAGCCCUGUGGAUCGCCUGCCACACCCAGGAGCAGCUCCCCCACAGGUCUGCCUCAUGGCUCUUGAUGCUCCCAGAGUGCAGCUUCAAUGACACUUGAGAGAAACCAGGCAUUGUCUGAUGACCCCUCCAGGGUUCCAGCCUCAGAUGAGACCAGGAUAGAGGCAGUGCCAGCCUUUGUCCCCUCCCAACUCAGUCACAUGGGGCAUCAGGCUCUUGGAAGGUACAUUCUAGUGUGUGUGGGAGGGCAAAACCAAAGACUAUCUGCCCCACAGUUCUGAUGAGCCCCCAGUGAGCCCAUGGUGCAGGGCAUGGGCUGCUCCUCCGGUCCACCCACAUUAGGGAAACCUAGCCAAGGGAGCCAAGUCCUUGCUCUGAACAGCCACCGCCCUUACUGUCCUGUAUGGCAUUGCCUAUCAGAAGGAAGACGAAGAGGGAAGAGUAUGAAGUGAGCAGGGGAUGAGGUGCAGAGACGUAAACUUAGGGGACAGCAUGAAGACAAACCAGGAUUUGUGGCCUGUGUCCUUUUUCCUGUAUUUCUAUUAAAGCGUUAAAGCUCAAUCACAGCACUGAAAAGACGAAGAGGGGUUUCAUGCCUUCCGAGACUACAGGAAAGUGAAAGGCAUCUAAGGAACCCCAGCAGGAACCGAGGCUGAUGAGGAAGCCCUCAACAGGUUACAUUUACCAGUGGGACAGGAAAUAGGACUCCGUAUUUAGUCCUAGGGUUUAGAGCCCAGAAGUGACAAAUGACCAGGAUUGCCCCAGUGCUUAGUCACCUAUAUCAAGAAUGCCUGGCCUUCUCUGUUGUUGAGGGAUGGCUCUAUCCCAUAAGCACACACGCUGGAGCCCUGAUUCCUAGUGGAGCUGUAUUUGGACACUGGGCUGAGAAGGUGAUUAAGGAGAAAAAUGGGUAUAGCGUGGGGUCCCAGUUAGGGCUUCCUCAAGACGAGAGCAGAGCUAGCUCUCCAGAACAUAAGGACACUAAAAAAUAUACUGAAUGAACUCUGGAUGCAGACGACCUAUCAUGUGCUGGCUGCUGACACUGGUCCUCUAGACUUACAUCAUGGGCAGGCAAGCUGCUAUGGUUUAUAUCCUAGACCUGGGGCAUCUCAUUAUGGACAGACAGAAUAGACUAAGACCCUCAUCUUCUGCCAGGCAGAUAUUUGGUCUUUCAGAGAGGAAAACAGUGAAUGUGAGCAGUAGAAUGACAAAGAUCUUACAGAAGAGAACGUGAGGGAGGUUCUGGAGAUACUAAGAGCAGGAGACAAGCAGAUAUGAACAUUAACAAGUGCAGGUACAAGCAGACAAGCCACAUGUUCACAGGACCAACCCUCAUGGCUGGUGCUAAAGGACGCCUACAACCAACAAAGGAAAACACCCUGGGGAGGGGAAAGCAUUUGCUACAGAAGGUAUGAGUGCUGGAGUCUGGAUCCCUGGAACCCGCCACGUAAACACCAGGCAGAUGUGGCAGACACUGGAGCAAACUGGCUAGCUGGGAGUAGCAACUCAUGUUUAUCAUAUGUCAUGUAUGUGUGUGUGCGUGUAUAUAUACAUACAUAUAUACAUGUUAUAUACAUAUAUAAUGUUAUAUACAUUCAUUAUAAACAAUAGAGUGAGCUAGAAGGCACAAAGCCUCACUCUAUACACGUGUACACAUGUAUAUAAGUGUAUAUACCCCCACAUACACGUGUCUCCACAUAUGUGAGUGUACACACACACACACACACACACACACACCACAUACAUAGAAGAAAUAAAGAGAGAAUAUGGAAGAAAGAACAGGCAUUUCCCAGAAGACAGCAAAUGAGUUGGGCAAGUCCAACCAGCAAAACCCUAAAACUUUGUGAGCUCACAAAAGGUUCUCUGGAUAUUUGAGGGACCAGCCAACUUAAACUCACACAAUCGACCAUGGGAUCUAGGAAGGAAGGUGCCAGGACCACCAUUACUCCAGGACCACUGUUGCUCAUGCUCCUGGGAAGGACCACUGGCUCUGGUGUAAGCAUUCCAUCACUCCUCCAUCCCAGCCUGCUGAGAGCUCCCACGGUGGCUCUCCAAGCAUCUGAGAGUGCUUCAAGGCAGGCAUGAGAGGGUGCAUACCUAUCACCCCAGCACUCGGGGGGCUGAGACAGGAGAAUGGAAAGUCAAGGCUAGCCUGGGCUACAAAGGGAGAUGCUCUCAGAAAAACAAAACAAAAGCCCAACUGAACAAAACAGUGAUUUUUUUAAAAAAUGCUUUUAAAUUU
This 3684-nucleotide long non-coding RNA is filed under the name Mus musculus (house mouse). RNAcentral's name for it is "long non-coding RNA chr4:155300628-155304312". Lineage: Eukaryota; Metazoa; Chordata; Mammalia; Rodentia; Muridae. The record is from RNAcentral.